This 200-nucleotide ribosomal RNA is filed under the name uncultured bacterium. RNAcentral's name for it is "partial 16S ribosomal RNA". It matches the Rfam family "Bacterial small subunit ribosomal RNA", at positions 524 to 723 of the family's 1533-position model. The record is from RNAcentral.
UACGGAGGAUCCAAGCGUUAUCCGGAAUCAUUGGGUUUAAAGGGUCCGUAGGCGGCCUUAUAAGUCAGUGGUGAAAUCUCCUAGCUCAACUAGGAAACUGCCAUUGAAACUGUAGGGCUUGAAUUAUUAGGAAGUAACUAGAAUAUGUAGUGUAGCGGUGAAAUGCUUAGAUAUUACAUGGAAUACCAAUUGCGAAGGCA